Molossus molossus (Pallas's mastiff bat) is the source of this 1519-nucleotide long non-coding RNA. RefSeq lists it as uncharacterized. Lineage: Eukaryota; Metazoa; Chordata; Mammalia; Chiroptera; Molossidae. The transcript has 3 exons. The record is from RefSeq and is a predicted model, not a curated record.
GAUGUACUGGAGGUCUUGAGGAGUCCUGUGGGAAACAGACAGCUUUGUUUGAUCCCCCAUUCCCCACAUGAUCAGAGCUUAGGACCCUGUGUGAGCCCCAAGCCUGUGAACCUGCCUUGACAUGAGUGUUGACAGAACACCCUGUGGGAAAUGCUGCUCCAGCUACCUCAGGUUGAAAGUCUAACUUAAGACAGAAGGAGGGACACGUCUUUCAUUGAAGAAGGGAGGUGAGGAAGAAGAAAGAGAUCCAUGCAGAUGCAGAAACUGAAAGGCCGAUCUUAAAAUCAUAUGGAAAUUCAAGGAGCCAUUAAUAGCCAAAACAAUCUUAAAAAAAUAAAAGUUGGAGGACUCACACUUCUUGAUUUUGAAACUUACUACAAAGAUACAGACAGAUUGGUAUUGACGUAAGUAUAGACAUACAGAUCAAUGGAAAAGAAUUGAGAGUCCAGAAAUAAACCCUCAUGACAUUAAUGACCAAUAGAUUUUUGAUAAGGUGACAAGACAGUUCAUGUGGGAAAGAAUCAUCUUUUCAUCAAACAAUUUUGGGACUACAUAUCCCGAUGCAAAAGAAUGAAGUGGGGGCCCUCCCUCAGGCCACAUACACAAACUAUUUCAAAAUAGAUCAAAGACCUAAAUGUAACAGCUAAAACUAUAAACUCUUUGGAAAAAGCAAAAGGGCAUUUAUUCCUUUGUGUCACGGUCUUGGAUUAAGCAAUGGAUUCUUAGCACAGGCAGCAGAAGAAAGCCAACAUUAUAUUUACGGGUGCCAACCAAAAGCCUGUGGGGUGACCAGGACCCUACCCUCUCUGGAAGAAAGUGUCGGCCAGGAGUAGAUGAGCCCUCACAAGGUCCGAAGCUCAACUUCGAGUCACCUGACCGUGGAUUAUAAUUAACGGUGACCUGCCGGAAACAAAAGCUAGUCCUCUCCGGAGUGAAACACCAGAGCCACAAAUGGUGUCAACAAUUUGUCACACACAGUGUGCAGCAUGCAAUGAGAAGUGCUAAGACAUGCAAGAGGACGGGAUUUGCCUAAAAAUAUGAAAGAAAACAACAACAAAGAGACAUAGUCAUGGGAGUUCCUGACAGAGCUGUCCCACACAGAUUUUAAAAUAAUUAUGUUAACAAUCUUGAAGAUGAAAUAUCAAGGUGGAAAAAAAUGGGCAACUAUUUAGAAGCUAUCAAAAAGAAUUCGAUUGAAGUUCUGGAACUGAAAACGCCUUCCCUCUUUAAAAAACCAGGAACUCUGUUUUGUUUGCCAGCCAAGCUGUGUGAUUUCAGAAAAUGUUGCUCAGUUCCUCAGCCUCUCAGUCAUUGCUUUUGGAAUCGUCUCCUGCCUCAGAAACCCCCAAUGCUAAACUCUCGUUUCUCUCUUUUAUUCUGAUCAUGCUGUAUGUUUUUAAAUAUGAUCUUAGGAGCUUUCCUAACAGGUUUUCAAAACAUUUUGUUUAGAUUGUAUAAUUGUUUUCAGAGAGAGAGACUUGGGCUGAAACAACCUAGUUAGCCGUUGCCAGAAGCAGAA